This 247-nucleotide ribosomal RNA is filed under the name uncultured bacterium. RNAcentral describes it as "partial 16S ribosomal RNA". It matches the Rfam family "Bacterial small subunit ribosomal RNA", at positions 15 to 244 of the family's 1533-position model. The record is from RNAcentral.
GAUCAUGGCUCAGGAUGAACGCUAGCUACAGGCUUAACACAUGCAAGUCGGAGGGGCAGCAUGAAAAGGAACUUUCGGUUUCUUUUUUGAUGGCGACCGGCGCACGGGUGCGUAACGCGUAUCGAACCUGCCUCAUACGUCGGGGAUAGCCUUGCGAAAAUAAGAUUAACUACCCGGCGGUCUCGGACGGCCGCAUGACAGUCCGAGUGAAGAUUUAUCGGUAUGAAAUGGCGAUGCGUCCCAUUAG